UAUAAAGACACACCUACCUAGCCCUGCUGCC
This 31-nucleotide non-coding RNA is filed under the name Mus musculus (house mouse). The record is from RNAcentral. Lineage: Eukaryota; Metazoa; Chordata; Mammalia; Rodentia; Muridae.